RNAcentral lists this ribosomal RNA (131 nucleotides) under Asterionellopsis glacialis. RNAcentral describes it as "partial Bacterial large subunit ribosomal RNA". It matches the Rfam family "Bacterial large subunit ribosomal RNA", at positions 1 to 140 of the family's 2925-position model. The record is from RNAcentral. Lineage: Eukaryota; Bacillariophyta; Plagiogrammaphyceae; Rhaphoneidales; Asterionellopsidaceae.
GAGAAGGGCGUUUGGUGGAUGCCUUGGCAGCAAGAGGCGAUGAAAGACGUGAUACUCUGCGAUAAGCCGUGAGGAGCUGAGAAUAAGCUUUGAUCCAUGGAUUUCUGAAUGGGGCAACCCACCUGACAGUU